Molecule: long non-coding RNA, 282 nt
Filed under: Mus musculus (house mouse)
Lineage: Eukaryota; Metazoa; Chordata; Mammalia; Rodentia; Muridae
Description: long non-coding RNA chr2:103838953-103839235
Source: RNAcentral
AUGACUAAACGCACCAAGAAGGUCGGCAUCAUCGGCAAGUACGGGACCCGCUAAGGUGCUUCCCUCCAGAAAAUGGUGAAGAAAAUUGAAAUCAGCCAGCGCGCCAAGUACACUUGCUCCUUCUGUGGCAAGACCAAGAGGAAGAGACAAGACGAGCCGUCGGCAUCUGGCACUGUGGUUCCUGCACGAAAACAGUGGCCGCCGGGGCCUGAACCUACAACACCACCUCUGCAGUCACAGUGAAGUCUGCCAUCAGAAGAGAAGGAACUGAAAGACCAGUAG